UGCCAGCAGCCGCGGUAAUACGGAGGGGGUUAGCGUUGUUCGGAAUCACUGGGCGUAAAGCGUACGUAGGCGGAUUAAUAAGUUAGAUGUGAAAUCCCUGGGCUCAACCCAGGAACUGCGUUUAAAACUAGUGAUCUAGAAUUUGGUAGGGGUUAGUAGAAUUUCCAGUGUAGAGGUGAAAUUCGUAGAUAUUGGAAAGAAUACCAGUGGCGAAGGCGACUAACUGGGCCAUUUUUGACGCUGAGAUACGAAAGCGUGGGUAGCAAACAGGAUUAGAUA
RNAcentral lists this ribosomal RNA (279 nucleotides) under uncultured bacterium. RNAcentral describes it as "partial 16S ribosomal RNA". It matches the Rfam family "Bacterial small subunit ribosomal RNA", at positions 506 to 784 of the family's 1533-position model. The record is from RNAcentral.